Molecule: long non-coding RNA, 910 nt
Organism: Amblyraja radiata (thorny skate)
Lineage: Eukaryota; Metazoa; Chordata; Chondrichthyes; Rajiformes; Rajidae
Exons: 3
Source: RefSeq, a predicted model, not a curated record
GCGGGGGAGGGCGGGGGGGAUUUGUCACGUGGUUCAGGCUUGCCGCAUUACGUCAGCGGGCAGCAGUGACUGGGUGAGCGAGCAGCGGAGUGCAGGUGGAGAGGAGACAAAGCACGCAGAAGUACUUCAAUUUAGUAUCCUACAUGACUGAACACCCACCACCUUACCCUGGGCCAGGCCCAGCAGGUCCAUAUCCAGCUUAUCCACAACAAUAUGAUCCCGGUGCUAAUGUUGCUUACCCUAGCUAUCCACCACCUCCAGGAGCACAGCCUGCAUAUCAAGGAUAUCCACAGUAUGGCUGGCAGAAUGCACCACCUCAACCAGGAAUGGUUUAUACAGAUGUCCCAAAAAAUACAGUUUACGUUGUAGAAGAUCGCAGAAGGAAUGAUACUGGGGAUACAUGUUUGACGGCAUGCUGGACUGCCCUCUGCUGUUGUUGCCUUUGGGAUAUGUUGACCUAAAAUUUCUCGACUACAUUGAAAACCCUACUUCAAGAUUCUCCCUCCUCUAGACCUUCAAAUCAAAGCUCGAAUAAUAACUUUGUUUUAAUCCCAAAAGGUGCCUGUUUGAAAUUUAUUUUUGGUUAUAUAAUGACAUUAGCUUAAUUAAGUAACUGAAUGGCAAGUUAUUGGUGUGAUGCAAUGUCCAUUGAUGGCCUCUCCAAUUAAAGAGCAAUUUAAUUUAUGCAGAUGUUUUUAAAUGUUAUUAAUUGCAAUUAAUUCAAUUUGAUACUGAAUAUUUGCAUUUUGAUUUCUGUUUAUGUAAGAUUAGCAUUGAUUUCCUGUGAAACUAUUUACUAGGUAAGGAAUAACAUUGUACUGUUUUACUAUUCAUCAUUGGAACUAAUAUUCCACAUUAAAGACAGCUGUUCAAUCACAAAUUUUUGAAUAAAGUGAAUUUAUGCUUCAAC